Molecule: transfer RNA, 74 nt
Filed under: Schistocerca americana (American grasshopper)
Lineage: Eukaryota; Metazoa; Arthropoda; Insecta; Orthoptera; Acrididae
Also listed under: 1 other name
Description: tRNA-Thr
Rfam family: tRNA
About the family: Transfer RNA (tRNA) molecules are approximately 80 nucleotides in length.
Source: RNAcentral
CCCUCGGUGGCUCAGAUGGAUAGAGCGUCUGCCAUGUAAGCAGGAGAUCCUGGGUUCGAGUCCCGGUCGGGGCA